UACUGCAUUGAAAGCGGAGCAUUAUGGCUGUAAAGUGUCGAUAUGUGUUUUUGAGGAGCCGUGUAAAUGAAACGGUUGGAUAAGCCCUUAAGCAAUACAAAUUCUUUUGUGUGUGGAAAAUAGCUGAAUGUCCAGAAUUCUAAACAUCUGAACAUAUCUCGAGAACCCGAAGAAAAUAUUGGUUAGGUCAGAGUCCGUGAAUCCUACGUACCUAACAACUUUACUAAUUUAAGUUAGUUCUUCUGUCAACACAACAUCAUCUAAAAGCGAUGAAAACGUGUUUUCUGGGGUUCUUCUCAAAGACAUAAGCAUUGCAGCUAUGGUUGAACUUCGUAGGUUAUGUAAAUACUAACCAAUAGCAUUGGCAGGAAACUUUCUUCUUCCACCUUCGGUGUAGCCGUCUUCGCAUAGUGGAUAGUUCGUCCUUGCAUAAACUGCACCUUGAAUUGAAAAAAGAAGAUGGUUACAUAAGAACACCUAUUCUGUGAAUGUCUUUCAAUCCAAUCUAGAUUAAAAACACAUAAAUUCAUCGCA
Non-coding RNA from Bemisia tabaci, 534 nucleotides. The record is from RefSeq and is a predicted model, not a curated record. NCBI's taxonomy places the organism in Eukaryota, Metazoa, Arthropoda, Insecta, Hemiptera, Aleyrodidae.